This 497-nucleotide ribosomal RNA is filed under the name uncultured bacterium. RNAcentral describes it as "partial 16S ribosomal RNA". It matches the Rfam family "Bacterial small subunit ribosomal RNA", at positions 28 to 507 of the family's 1533-position model. The record is from RNAcentral.
GAUGAACGCUGGCGGCGUGCCUAAUACAUGCAAGUCGAGCGAACAGAUAAGGAGCUUGCUCCUUUGACGUUAGCGGCGGACGGGUGAGUAACACGUGGAUAACCUACCUAUAAGACUGGGAUAACUUCGGGAAACCGGAGCUAAUACCGGAUAACAUAUUGAACCGCAUGGUUCAAUAGUGAAAGGCGGCUUUGCUGUCACUUAUAGAUGGAUCCGCGCCGUAUUAGCUAGUUGGUAAGGUAACGACUUACCAAGGCAACGAUACGUAGCCGACCUGAGAGGGUGAUCGGCCACACUGGAACUGAGACACGGUCCAGACUCCUACGGGAGGCAGCAGUAGGGAAUCUUCCGCAAUGGGCGAAAGCCUGACGGAGCAACGCCGCGUGAGUGAUGAAGGUCUUCGGAUCGUAAAACUCUGUUAUCAGGGAAGAACAAAUGUGUAAGUAACUGUGCACAUCUUGACGGUACCUGAUCAGAAAGCCACGGCUAACUACGUG